GGGUUUUCAUCCUUUAUCAUGGGAAGUUGUAUGUAUGCCUAAAAUGCCAGGUGGAUUGGGCCUCUCUUCCUUAAUAUGUAGAAGGCAUAAUAUAUUUUGCAAAUUAGCUACCUAGGUGGCCUUGAUUCUACCUCGUUAUGUGCUAAAUUAGUUCAGGCUAAAUACCAUUUCUAUGGGUCUUGGGUGCACUAUCACAAACCACAACACUCUUCUACU
RNAcentral lists this long non-coding RNA (216 nucleotides) under Elaeis guineensis (African oil palm). RNAcentral's name for it is "long non-coding RNA (EGUI_LNC023853)". The record is from RNAcentral. Lineage: Eukaryota; Viridiplantae; Streptophyta; Magnoliopsida; Arecales; Arecaceae.